Molecule: ribosomal RNA, 456 nt
Filed under: uncultured bacterium
Lineage: Bacteria
Description: SSU rRNA
Rfam family: Bacterial small subunit ribosomal RNA
Source: RNAcentral
AGAAUCAACGCUGGCGGCGUGCCUAACACAUGCAAGUCGCACGAGAAAGGGACUUCGGUCCUGAGUAAAGUGGCGCACGGGUGAGUAACACGUGAAUCAUCUACCUCCGAGUGGGGAAUAACCUAGAGAAAUCUGGGCUAAUACCGCAUAACACUUACGAGUCAAAGCAGCAAUGCGCUUGGAGAGGAGUUCGCGGCAGAUUAGUUAGUUGGCGGGGUAAUGGCCCACCAAGACGAUGAUCUGUAUCCGGCCUGAGAGGGCGCACGGACACACUGGAACUGAAACACGGUCCAGACUCCUACGGAGGCAGCAGUGGGGAAUUUUGCGCAAUGGGGGAAACCCUGACGCAGCAACGCCGCGUGGAGGAUGAAAUAUCUUGGUAUGUAAACUCCUUUCGAUGGGAAGAUAAUGACGUACCCAUAGAAGAAGCCCGGCUAACUUCGCGCCAGCAGCCGC